GUCCAGUAGGACCUGUAGACGCGGCCGGUCCGCGGGAACAUUAACGAGGUCCAGUAGGACCUGUAGACAUUAACGAGGUCCAGUAGGACCUGUAGACAUUAACGAGGUCCGGUAGGACCUGUAGACAUUAACGAGGUCCAGUAGGACCUGUAGACAUUAACGAGGUCCAGUAGGACCUGUAGACGCGGCCGGUCCGCGGGAACAUUAACGAGGUCCAGUAGGUUUAGUCAUUACAGAAGGGUGACUUGGUGAAGAGGAUUUUGAAUAUUGACUCUGUGGUCCUCAACCAGCCAGCAUGGAAGCUACUGGUGUUUAGAUUUUCAUUGGCUUCUCUCCAAGCUUGGCUCAAUGUGCAGGGAACUUUGUGUUUGCAUGAUAUGCCAACGGCUGUGUCCUCUAACCCAGCCUGGCAGUUAGGACUUAUCCUCUGUUACCAUAGAGACGUGUAUAUAC
Molecule: long non-coding RNA, 453 nt
Filed under: Salmo salar (Atlantic salmon)
Lineage: Eukaryota; Metazoa; Chordata; Actinopteri; Salmoniformes; Salmonidae
Description: lncRNA (ENSSSAG00000087386.1)
Source: RNAcentral